UUAGGGUUGUAUGGUUUUUAAAGAUGACGCGUCUCUUUGUUGAUCUACCACGCGUCUCCACCACAGCUUUGAACCCACGUGUCCCACAAAAGCUCGGUUACCCAUUUUCACACCAUCUCUACCAAAGCUCCGAUCACUUCUCUCUCUCAUCUAUAGAAGGACGACGGUGGUUUUGCGGUGGCGACGCUGCGACAAUGGACAAUGGUGCUAGGUUCACUCAAGCGAACGAUGACGGCAGUACUAGCGGCUAGGGUUCAGAUUUGUUACCGGUAACUAGGGUUUCUACCAGGUCUAGGGUUGACUCCAUCGUUGAUUGAGGUAAGAUAAGAUUGUUUUGAUCAUUUCAUUUGGUUGUAUAGUUACUUUCCAACCCACCAUGUUAUUCAUCUGUAACUCUGACGAGAGGAAGAAGAAGAGUGUGAGGAAAGCGGAGAUGGUAGUUUGGAGGAGCUGUAUAGAGGAUCAAAGAGGAAAAUGCAGCUUUGGAGAAUUGUGUUUUUGAUGAUACGGAGGAGGAGGAUUUUCAAUGCUCUUAACUUCUUAAGGUAAAUAACCAUCAAGAAAAUGUUAGAUAUGGGACGAGCUUCGGUAUGUUAAUAUGUACGGCUAGACCAGUUGGACCAGAUGCUUAACGAAGAUGGGAUAACCGAUUGUGUCACGAAGAUACAUUAGCAUAGGUAUGGCGCAUUAGGUUUAGUCUUUUAGCAUAGAAAAAAUUGUUACAAUUGUAGUUUUUGUGAAGUGUUGUAAUAGCAAUUAGUAUUUAAAUGUGUUCACGAAGGAAAAUUGGCCGGCGAUAUUGUGGCAGUUAUGGACUUAUCACAGAUGAACCUUAUACAGUGUAAGUUUGUAGCAGAUACGUUUCUAAAUCUUGACUCUGGAUGUAAU
Helianthus annuus (common sunflower) is the source of this 888-nucleotide long non-coding RNA. RefSeq lists it as uncharacterized. The transcript has 3 exons. Lineage: Eukaryota; Viridiplantae; Streptophyta; Magnoliopsida; Asterales; Asteraceae. The record is from RefSeq and is a predicted model, not a curated record.